AUUGAACGCUGGCGGCAGGCCUAACACAUGCAAGUCGAGCGAGCGGCGGCCGGGUGAGUAAUGUAUGGGGAUUUGCCCGAAAGAGGGGGAUAACUACUGGAAAAGGUGGCUAAUACCGCAUACUAUAGGAUGAACCCAUAUGGGAUUAGCUAGUAGGUGGGGUAAAGGCUCACAUAGGCGACGAUCUCUAGAUGGUAUGAGAGGAUGAUAAGCCAAACUGGGACUGAGACACGGACCAUACUCCUACGGGAGGCAUCAGUGGUGAAUAUUGCAAAUUGGGCGCAAGCCGGAUGCAGCCAUGCCGCGUGGAGGAAGAAGGCCUUAGGGGUGUAAAGUACUUUCAGCGUGGAGGCGUUACCCGCAGAAGAAGCACCGGCUAACUCCAUGCCAGCAGCCGCGGUAAUAC
Molecule: ribosomal RNA, 406 nt
Filed under: uncultured bacterium
Lineage: Bacteria
Description: partial 16S ribosomal RNA
Rfam family: Bacterial small subunit ribosomal RNA
Source: RNAcentral